UGAUUUGCCACGUGGUGACCCCCGUAAAUGACUUAAUGGCCCGUGUCUUGAUUUCCUCGCCUGUCACUUAGGAUGCUAACAGUCCUGUCCCAACAGCUGUGUGAGAGCAGUCACGGAGUUGGCGAGUGCGUUAACAGCAUGGCCCUGAAGACUCACUCCGCUGCCCCAGUGGCUGGGCCAGGGGAGACCCAGGUCACGUCCUAGGAGCUUCUGCCCUGAUGCCAGCAGGUGCACAUGGCAGAGCCCCCACCACCAACCUGUGCCCUCAGGAAAACUUCAGACUUGGCUGCCUGGCCCAGAGGCCCGUCCACUGUGGCCGCCUCAGAUGGAAGGUGGAAGGAGCAUCCACUUACAGUCACUGGGAGGGCGCGGGGACUGAAGGAGGUCCCCGCAAGUGUUCAUGGAACAUGAGGGGCUGGAGCUGGGGGACCCUGCCAGGCUGCCGCUCCUGCAGCCUCCUGGUGACAAAUGGUUGGCAGAAGCCGGAACCAAGAGGAAGCCUGCAGGGGAGGGGAGACAGGCAUGUGGUUCACAGGGAUCCAGGAGGCCACAUGGGCAGGGUGCUGGGACAACAUCGAGGCCCCCCCAACACCCUGGGGGGAGCUGAGGGAAGGCCAGACCUACUGUGUGCGGGGCUCGUGCUGAGCGUCCGCAUGCGUUAUUCCUUAGGGUGACCCUGUGAGACCCGAGUCUCAGGCGAAGUGACCCAACAGAGCCAGGCAGGACUGAAGCCCCCGUCUGUACACCCAGCCAGCUCUGAGCAGCCACCUGUCCAGGCUGUGCCUGCAACAGGGACAAAGAGAGGCUAAGCUAGGCUGAGCCAGGAAGGAACUGAGGGCCUCUGGGGAGGGUCUCCGUGUUCAUCAGGCGGCGCCCGAGAGCAGGAAGCGCUGGGCUUGACGGCCUACGGGGAAUGGCAGGGCCUCCCCUUUUUUCAACUGGGGGCACCCAGGUUGGUCAAGGGAAAGGAUGCCAGGGGCCUGGGUUCAGUGGGGGCCCAGUCUGCAUGUUGGUGACUCUGUGGGCAUCCAUGGGUCUGGGGACCACUGCCAGGGACCCAGCAGGGCUGGUGUGUUUCUUGGGUCCUGGGUUGAAGGCUGGCCUCCUGGGGUUCUCUGACAGCUGAUGUAGGGAGGACCCCCAGCCCCUGGUCCCCAGAUGCAGGCUUUAAACUCAGAGACUCUCUCUCCCAGCUCCCCAGGCCAAACUAGGGCUCCCACCCCCGUAAGGAUGGCUGUGUGACGUUUGGGCCCCGCCAGCCCAAGAGUCGGAUUCCCAAACCUGGGGGUGUUCAGGAGAAGCCAGGACCUCAGCACUGGAAAGAAGAGAGGUGGAAGUCAGGGGGCCCUGGGUUCAGAUCCCACUUCUGUCACUUGCUGGUCCCCUGACUUGUGUCAAACAAUGGCUCAGGUCCCCUCUGGUGGAGUGGGGACGGGCCAUGCUCUGAGUGGGGGGUCUCGAGAAUGUUCUGUGCCAGGUGUGGUGCUGACAGCCUUAGUGAGUCGCCUCUACUCCUCACAACCACCCUCUGAAGUGCUGCUGUUUCUGUUUUAUAGAAGAGGAAACCGAGGCCCAGAGUGGCUCAGUCGAGAAGGGGCAGAGCCUGGCUGUGAAGCACAGCCUGAGAGCGAAUGUGAGGCAGGGCGCCUGAGGGAGCAGGGAUGUCUGGCCAAGGUGGCUGUUAUUAUCAAGGCCUGAGAGAGGAAGGGGCUUACCACAGGGAGGGGCAGGGCCAAGGUUGGGUGAGACCUAAGGACUCGGCUGCUUUCUCCUCCUCCGUGGCCCAAGGCCGCUGUGUGUUAGAAAUUGAGGUGCAACCGAGAUCAGGGAUGGAACUUGUUGAAGGUCACUGAAGGUCAUGGACAGGCUUCCUUCCUCUUCAGAGAGCAGGGAAAAGGGCAGAGAGAGACCCCUGCAUGGUCAGCCAACCCCGAGCACCGUCAGGAGCUCUGGGCUGCCCACCCUGCUGUCCUAGGGCAGAGUCACCAGGACUGGUCUGAGGACCAGGAGAGGGGCCAUCGGUGUGCGCCAGGCUCCUGUCCCUAAGAGCAGGGGGAGGCCUCAGCUGGGCCACGGGGUCCAGUGGUGGUUCCAGCCUUGGCCUCGUGAGUCAGGCCCAGCUGCUGCAUCUGCUGCGUCACCCCCAGGGAGCAGGCUCCAGGCCACGCUUCCCCUGCCCGAGAGGGAUCAGCAGAGAGCACGUCCUGAAUGCUGCUUUAUCGCAGCAAGUUUGCGGAUUCAGCUCAUUACACUUAAUUAGAAUUAUUUAAUUAGAAUCUUAAUAAAAGAGUAAAGCAGGAAGGAGGCUGAGAGCUGGGUGAGGAGAUCCGUGCUGAGCUUGUGAAUAGGGCCCCCUGGGGAGGUGGCAGUGGCGGGGCUCCUGGGACUUACACCUGGAAGGUUGGGCCAGGGAGCCUGGGUGUGGCACAGUACCAGGACCCUGAGGUAAGGGCACUGGGCUUGUGGGGCAGGACGUCUUUCCUGCCCUCAAGGAAUUCAGGGUUUGUGCAGGAAAUGGACUAGAAACUGGAGACUGAUAACCCAGGCUGAGGCCGAGGCACUGGGCCAGCCAGGGAGGGGCUGAGUGGGAGGAAGGCAACCAGGGAGGGACGCAGGCCAGCGUGAGGGAUGGUGACCAGCCUGAGAGGCAUGACCUCAGAC
This 2661-nucleotide long non-coding RNA is filed under the name Marmota monax (woodchuck). Lineage: Eukaryota; Metazoa; Chordata; Mammalia; Rodentia; Sciuridae. The record is from RNAcentral.